UACGUAGGGUGCAAACGUUGUUCGGAAUCACUGGGCAUAAAGAGCGCGUAGGCGGUCUGACAAGUCCCCUGUGAAAGCCCCCGGCUUAACCGGGGAACUGCAUGGGAUACUGUUGGGCUAGAGUGCAGGAGGGGAGAGCGGAAUUCCUGGUGGAGCGGUGAAAUGCGUAGAUAUCAGGAGGAACGCCGGCGGCGAAAGCGACUCUCUGGCCUGUAACUGACGCUGAGGCGCGAAAGCUAGGGGAGCAAACGGGAUUAGAUACCCCGGUAGUCCUAGCCCUAAACGAUGGGUACUAAGUAGAGGGAACUCCGAUGUUCUCUCUGCCGGAGCUAAUGUAUUAAGUACCCCGCCUGGGGAGUAUGGUCGCAAGGCUAAA
This 376-nucleotide ribosomal RNA is filed under the name uncultured bacterium. RNAcentral describes it as "bacterial SSU rRNA". It matches the Rfam family "Bacterial small subunit ribosomal RNA", at positions 524 to 898 of the family's 1533-position model. The record is from RNAcentral.